Molecule: ribosomal RNA, 468 nt
Filed under: uncultured bacterium
Lineage: Bacteria
Description: partial 16S ribosomal RNA
Rfam family: Bacterial small subunit ribosomal RNA
Source: RNAcentral
GACGAACGCUGGCGGCGUGCUUAACACAUGCAAGUCGAACGGAAAGGCCCUGCUUUUGUGGGGUGCUCGAGUGGCGAACGGGUGAGUAACACGUGAGUAACCUGCCCUUGACUUUGGGAUAACUUCAGGAAACUGGGGCUAAUACCGGAUAGGAGCUCCUGCUGCAUGGUGGGGGUUGGAAAGUUUCGGCGGUUGGGGAUGGACUCGCGGCUUAUCAGCUUGUUGGUGGGGUAGUGGCUUACCAAGGCUUUGACGGGUAGCCGGCCUGAGAGGGUGACCGGCCACAUUGGGACUCAGAUACGGCCCAGACUCCUACGGGAGGCAGCAGUGGGGAAUAUUGCACAAUGGGCGGAAGCCUGAUGCAGCAACGCCGCGUGCGGGAUGACGGCCUUCGGGUUGUAAACCGCUUUCGCCUGUGACAAAGCGUGAGUGACGGUAAUGGGUAAAGAAGCACCGGCUAACUACGUG